Molecule: unclassified non-coding RNA, 237 nt
Filed under: plant metagenome
Description: partial contains small subunit ribosomal RNA, internal transcribed spacer 1, and 5.8S ribosomal RNA
Source: RNAcentral
CGUAGGUGAACCUGCGGAAGGAUCAUUAUUGAAUGAAACACUUCUGGCUUUAUGCUGUUGUGCUGGCCCUUUGGGCAAUGUGCACACGGCUCUGGUCACUUGUUUCUUCUGUUCCACCUGUGCACUGCCUGUAGACACGCUGUGUCUAUGAUAUUUGUUAACACACAACAAUGUUAGUUGGCAUGUUAUAUAUAAUAAUAAAAUAUACAACUUUCAACAACGGAUCUCUUGGCUCUC